GGCUACGUAGCUCAGUUUUGGUCAGAGCACAGCACUCAUAACGCUGAGGUCAUGGGUUCAAUUCCCAUCGUAGCUA
Molecule: transfer RNA, 76 nt
Filed under: Enterobacteriaceae endosymbiont of Donacia piscatrix
Lineage: Bacteria; Pseudomonadati; Pseudomonadota; Gammaproteobacteria; Enterobacterales; Enterobacteriaceae
Description: tRNA-Met
Rfam family: tRNA
About the family: Transfer RNA (tRNA) molecules are approximately 80 nucleotides in length. Their secondary structure includes four short double-helical elements and three loops (D, anti-codon, and T loops). Further hydrogen bonds mediate the characteristic L-shaped molecular structure. tRNAs have two regions of fundamental functional importance: the anti-codon, which is responsible for specific mRNA codon recognition, and the 3' end, to which the tRNAs corresponding amino acid is attached (by aminoacyl-tRNA synthetases). tRNAs cope with the degeneracy of the genetic code in two manners: having more than one tRNA (with a specific anti-codon) for a particular amino acid; and 'wobble' base-pairing, i.e. permitting non-standard base-pairing at the 3rd anti-codon position.
Source: RNAcentral